CAUGGGAGUAACAGAAGUAGUGGGGUAGGUGGAGGAGAUAUGGACAUCAAAUUCGAAGCUAAGUGGUUGGAGGAGGAAGCAUGUGAAGGGAUUGUGGAGAAUGCAUGGAAAACCAGCAGUGACAUACAUGGGCGAGAGGUGUCGGAGGCUCUUAGAGAUGUGGCCAAGGAUCUAAUAAAUUGGAGCAAAAAUGUUUUGGGUGAUUUGAAGAAAUGUAUUGCUAGAGCAAAGAAAGAGUUGGAAAGAUGGAGACGAGCCCCUAUCUCAAUGGAGCAAGCAAAAAGGGAGCAAAUGUUGCGAUACAAAUUGGAGAAGCUUGAGCAGCAGCGUGACACAUAUUGGCGUCAAAGAGCACAUGUGGGCUAGUUGCAGAAAGGAGAUAGAAACACCAAAUUUUACCACGCUUAUGCUUCAGAGAGAAAGAGAAGAAACAUAAUUAAAAAACUGAAAGUGGAGGGGGAGAGUGGUGGAUGGAGAGGAGGAGAUGGCGGUGGUAGUGACACAAUAUUUCAAUAA
RNAcentral lists this ribosomal RNA (516 nucleotides) under Triticum aestivum (bread wheat). RNAcentral's name for it is "partial small subunit ribosomal RNA". Lineage: Eukaryota; Viridiplantae; Streptophyta; Magnoliopsida; Poales; Poaceae. The record is from RNAcentral.